GGGGGGGGGUGCUAACACAUGCAAGUCGAACGAUGAAGCCCAGCUUGCUCGGGUCGGAUUAGCUGGCGAACGGGUGAGUAACACGUGAGCAACCUGCCCCUGACUCUGGGAUAAGCGCUGGAAACGGCGUCUAAUACUGGAUAUGUCCCGUCACCGCAUGGUGUGCGGAUGGAAAGAUUUUUCGGUUGGGGAUGGGCUCGCGGCCUAUCAGCUUGUUGGUGAGGUAAUGGCUCACCAAGGCGUCGACGGGUAGCCGGCCUGAGAGGGUGACCGGCCACACUGGGACUGAGACACGGCCCAGACUCCUACGGGAGGCAGCAGUGGGGAAUAUUGCACAAUGGGCGAAAGCCUGAUGCAGCGACGCCGCGUGAGGGAUGACGGCCUUCGGGUUGUAAACCUCUUUUAGCAGGGAAGAAGCGAAAGUGACGGUACCUGCAGAAAAAGCACCGGCUAACUACGUGCCAGCAGCCGCGGUAAUACGUAGGGUGCAAGCGUUAUCCGGAAUUAUUGGGCGUAAAGAGCUCGUACGCGGUCUGUCGCGUCUGCUGUGAAAUCCCGAGGCUCAACCUCGGGCUUGCAGUGGGUACGGGCAGACUAGAGUGCGGUAGGGGAGAUUGGAAUUCCUGGUGUAGCGGUGGAAUGCGCAGAUAUCAGGAGGAACACCGAUGGCGAAGGCAGAUCUCUGGGCCGUAACUGACGCUGAGGAGCGAAAGGGUGGGGAGCAAACAGGCUUAGAUACCCUGGUAGUCCACCCCGUAAACGUUGGCAACUAGUUGUGGGGUCCUUUCCACGGAUUCCGUGACGCAGCUAACGCAUUAAGUUCCCCGCCUGGGGAGUACGGCCGCAAGGCUAAAACUCAAAGGAAUUGACGGGGACCCGCACAAGCGGCGAAGCAUGCGGAUUAAUUCAAUGCAACGCGAAGAACCUUACCAAUGCUUGACAUACACGAGAACGGCCCAGAAUGGUCAACUCUUUGGACACUCGUGAACAGGUGGUGCAUGUUUGUCGUCAGCUCGUGUCCUGAGAUGUUGGGUAAGUCCCACAACGACCGCACCCUCGUUCUAUGUGCCACACGUAUGUUGGUACUCUGGUUACUGCGGGGUCACUCGGACAAGGUGGGAUAAGGCAAUCUCAGCCCCUUAUGCUGGGCUUCGCC
This 1156-nucleotide ribosomal RNA is filed under the name Microbacterium esteraromaticum. RNAcentral describes it as "bacterial SSU rRNA". It matches the Rfam family "Bacterial small subunit ribosomal RNA", at positions 38 to 1220 of the family's 1533-position model. Lineage: Bacteria; Bacillati; Actinomycetota; Actinomycetes; Micrococcales; Microbacteriaceae. The record is from RNAcentral.